This 656-nucleotide long non-coding RNA is filed under the name Eucalyptus grandis. Its description in RNAcentral is "long non-coding RNA (EGRA_LNC006134)". The record is from RNAcentral. Lineage: Eukaryota; Viridiplantae; Streptophyta; Magnoliopsida; Myrtales; Myrtaceae.
CGCCUCCUCCUCGUCGGAGGGAGAUUCUCCGAUUCGCCGAUGCGCGCGCGCGUUUGUCGGUGGCAUUGAGCUGCGAGGUAAAGCGGGGAAUGCUCCUGCCUCCGGGGCACUCGGCGGGGGCGGAUGUUUUUCUUUUUUAUAUAGCUCCAGCUCGUUUGCUCUUUCGCCGUUCGUUUCGUUUCGACUCGUUCGGCUGAUGAUUGGAAUCUGAUUUGUCUGGUUCUUUCUUCCUCAUUUUUUUAUUUUUUUGGUUUUUUGGGCGGUUUUGAUGAUAGGUGAAGUGAAUUGAAGUCGAAUUCUGCUUGUUCGGAGCUGUCCGUGGGAAGUGAAUCCGAGGUUUCUGUAAGGGCAUUGUAGAGAGAGAAAGAAGAAAGAAGAAAGUUUGGGUAUUGGCGACGGGGUAAAUCAUGGGCGAUGCUGAAGAUUCUCGUAACGACACAUCGCGAGGGCUUCAAUCUUCGUUCGGGACUCCGCAGCCUAAGCAGGCAUUCUCCAUGAACCACCUCGAUAUACCGCACCUGAGCGCUCCGGACAUGCGCGCCCCCAUGCGGCAAUUCGCGCAGAGCUUCGUCGGCGAUGGUAACAAGAGAGCCGGCAUCCCGCCGUCGCAUCCGAACCAGAUCCCUCCGAUUUCGCCGUAUUCCCAGAUCCCAAUG